AUGUUCAAAAAUACUUAAAAAAUAAAAACAAUUUUUUUAUUCAUUAAUUUUUAAAAAGGCUGAUAGUACAAGAAUUUCUCCAAGUACGCGCUGGCUCCCUUCCCUUAACCACCAAGUUCUCGGCUCUUCCUGCAGGAAAUGGGAGCACGUUCGGUACACAAAACUGAUGCAGUUGCAGGGGAGCGGAGCUGCAGAAUGGCCGCCUGGGAAGGCGAAGGGGAGCGUGUGGCUGUCUAAGAAGAUUGAUGAUGUGCAGCCGCAGAGGUGCUGCAAGUGGAGAUGCGGGCCUGGAGCGAGGAGCCGGGACCUGGGAACAGGUCCUGGAACUGGGAGCUCGUAGUGGCCAACUCCGCAAACCGGCAUCUGCUUAGCCCCGGCUUAACUUUAUGCUGACAGCGCCUUGGCACUUGCCAAGUACUUGGCCAAUCCGACGCCACUCGCUAGCCCGAUCAGCCCUCUUUCAGCUGAUUUGCUGCGUGUUUGGCCACCGCAGCGGAAUCCUGCUUUCAUUGUUGCUGAUUUUGAAUUUGCACUUUUGCCACCGAGAGUCGGCAAUCAUAUAUCAUUGUGGGCGAUACCAGGAAGAUCCGACUUGGGGGCUUGGAAUUUUAAAUGGGCAGUGUGUGACACGAUUGGCCACCGGUUGGAACUGGGCUGCAUUAGGCGUCGGAUUAAGAAGAUUCUUUGGAUUUUCUGGCUUUACGUGGGUCUUCUUUUGUUUGAUGUGAGAGAGAGGAUUCUAGUCCGGAAUUAUAGUCCGAAGUUGCAAAAUUGCAUAUUCUCCUAUGCAGGACGAUUUAUUUUAAUGUUGUGCUAUAAGAAAAAAAUUAAUUUAAUAAAUUAUUGUUUUAUGUAUUG
Molecule: long non-coding RNA, 858 nt
Organism: Drosophila biarmipes
Lineage: Eukaryota; Metazoa; Arthropoda; Insecta; Diptera; Drosophilidae
Exons: 2
Source: RefSeq, a predicted model, not a curated record